Molecule: ribosomal RNA, 757 nt
Filed under: uncultured Neisseriaceae bacterium
Lineage: Bacteria; Pseudomonadati; Pseudomonadota; Betaproteobacteria; Neisseriales; Neisseriaceae
Description: bacterial SSU rRNA
Rfam family: Bacterial small subunit ribosomal RNA
Source: RNAcentral
AUUGAACGCUGGCGGCAUGCUUUACACAUGCAAGUCGGACGGCAGCGGGGGUGCUUGCACCUGCCGGCGAGUGGCGAACGGGUGAGUAACAUAUUGGAAUGUACCGAGUAGUGGGGGAUAACCAAUCGAAAGAUUGGCUAAUACCGCAUACGUCCUGAGGGGGAAAGCAGGGGAUCUUCGGACCUUGCGCUAUUUGAGCAGCCAAUAUCUGAUUAGCUAGUUGGUGGGGUAAAGGCCCACCAAGGCGACGAUCAGUAGCGGGUCUGAGAGGAUGAUCCGCCACACUGGGACUGAGACACGGCCCAGACUCCUACGGGAGGCAGCAGUGGGGAAUUUUGGACAAUGGGGGCAACCCUGAUCCAGCCAUGCCGCGUGUCUGAAGAAGGCCUUCGGGUUGUAAAGGACUUUUGUUAGGGAAGAAAAGGGAAGUGCUAAUACCACUUUUUGCUGACGGUACCUAAAGAAUAAGCACCGGCUAACUACGUGCCAGCAGCCGCGGUAAUACGUAGGGUGCGAGCGUUAAUCGGAAUUACUGGGCGUAAAGCGAGCGCAGACGGUUACUUAAGCAGGAUGUGAAAUCCCCGGGCUCAACCUGGGAACUGCGUUCUGAACUGGGUAGCUAGAGUAUGUCAGAGGGGGGUAGAAUUCCACGUGUAGCAGUGAAAUGCGUAGAGAUGUGGAGGAAUACCGAUGGCGAAAGGCAGCCCCCUGGGAUAAUACUGACGUUCAUGCUCGAAAGCGUGGGUAGCAAACAGGG